UCUUUUUCUAGUUCUUUCCCAGAGAAAGAGUGCAGUCUUCUGGCACACCUCCUGGGAGGGUCAGUGCCCAAACAAGAAGGCGUUAGGAACCUCAGAGCCUCUUGCUGAACAAAAUGGUUUCACUGGCCCAAAACACAACUGCUUCCCCUGCACGAGAGGUUGGCUCUUCCUGGAUCCUCUGGCCAAACUAGAGUGGACCUGCUCUUUCACAGACGGUGAAACAGACACUACGGUGAUUCAACUAGAAUAAACAUUUUUACUACAUCAACAGAGGAAUCUGGAUUGAGUUGUAAAUUCCCGGAAAUAGGAGGACGUAUAUUCCACGGAUUUUGUUGACUCGGCUGGAUUUGGUACCUAAGGUCCUUGAGGUGCCCAUCUUCGUGUCCAACAGUCAAAUUCACC
Molecule: long non-coding RNA, 402 nt
Organism: Manis pentadactyla (Chinese pangolin)
Lineage: Eukaryota; Metazoa; Chordata; Mammalia; Pholidota; Manidae
Exons: 3
Source: RefSeq, a predicted model, not a curated record